This 4498-nucleotide long non-coding RNA is filed under the name Rattus norvegicus (Norway rat). Its description in RNAcentral is "long non-coding RNA NONRATT033850". The stretch from base 423 to 661 matches the Rfam family "Taurine upregulated gene 1 conserved region 3". Lineage: Eukaryota; Metazoa; Chordata; Mammalia; Rodentia; Muridae. The record is from RNAcentral.
CUCAAAAGACUCUAUAAGACUGUGGUGUUAAAAGGCUUUCCUCUGGAGAAAGAGAAACAAAUCAACUGGAACUUAAAAGCUUGAAAUUCCAUGACAAAACACAGAUGUCCAGGAUUGGAGUUCGUGAAGUAUCUGCAGUAAUUGGAGUGGAUACGCUUUUCACUGGAGCUACCACCAUGAACUCCAGGGUCCCAGAUUUUCAAGAAGUGGACCUGUGACCCAGAAGAGCUUGUCAAGAUAUGACAGAACUCUGGAGGUGGACGUUUUGUAUUCGAUUUUGGAACUGCUAUCUUGCCGUGAGUAAAGAGGCAACAACUCACCCAGCACUGCCACCAGCACUGUCACUGGGAACUUGAAGACCCAAGCUUCUGUCCAGACCCUCAGUGCAAACUGACAACACUCCAUCCAAAGUGAACUACGUCCCGUGCCUCCUGAUUGCUGAAUGUUCAUUCACCUGGACCGUCCAAUGACCUUCCUUCUGCUACUCCAUCAGCCUACAGACCUGGUACUUGGAUUUUUGUCCAUGGUGAUUCCUACCACCUUACUACUGAAGAAGACACCAUUCCAGUGGACCACUGUGACCCAAGAAGCAUUCAGCCAUCAUGAUGUGGCCUUUACCUCCACUCCUGUCUACUCUGCCCAGAUUCAGCACAGCCCUUUAUAAUGCAGUCAAGAGUCUUCAAGCCAAAUAACUGAAGCUAUUUUAUCACAACAAAGGCCAAGUUUAUUCCAUAAAUGUACAGUUCAUUUCUGCAGUUUAUUCUUCAGAGACACAUAGUAAACUUGGACCAGGGGAUUUUGUUUUGUUUAUAUUGUCAACACUGAAGAAAGGCAUCAUCUCUGAGAACUCCACAAUCUCAAAUGACUGAAGUUUCAUGAACUGCCUAGGAUCCUGUCAAGGUCACUGGACUCUUAAUUUUCCUACUUCAAAUCUAUAGCUGUCUACUGAAUGAGAAAGCAGAUAUUCUGACCCAUUGGGAUUGAAACCAAGGCAUACUGAAUUCCUCAUAGUAUCAUCUGUGGGUUACUCAGGAACCAAAACUUUUAACACCAAUUUAAGAAAUUCUACUGAGGAAUCCCUUUAUCUAACCAUCUCACAAGGCUUCAACCAGAUUCCUGAAAAGACCUCUUGAUAUAUCAAGAUAGAACUUACAUGCAUUUUGUGAACAACUUAUCACUGAUUUAACAAAGGCUUUGUGCUCAUGAAGUUCUUUGAAGGGGCGCUCUAUGGAAGUCCAGAGUAACGUGAAGCUGCUCUCGAUGAAGAAGUGAAGUGGGAAUUGAGGACUGCAACCUGCCACAACCAUCUUUACCACCAUGGUGAUGCCUAAAGGGACUUCCUUAUGUAAAAUUCUUCAGAAAAUACUGCUUGAAACCACUACCCUAGAAAAACGUGUUUGACAUGAAUGGCAUUCUCUUCUUUUAUGUACUUCUAACUCAGAACAGUUCAUAUUCAGUUGAAGAUGCUUUAUCCAGAGAAUGAUAACUACAGCAUUGUCUAAUGAAGUUUUAAUAGCAUUCCAUCCAAGGUGGACUUCCUGGAGUUGGAUAUAACCAGAGAACAAUUCAUAUGUAUCCUACACUGAAGAACCCCAUUAACUUUCAGAAACCUAAAACUAGUGGUACUGGAAGUACGUGACUUGGAAGUCUGUGUAAAUUGCCUGAGAGCUGGUAUUGAAGCUGAUGCCUCCUCGAGGCCAUCUUAGACCAAGUUGUUCGGUUGUUAACUAUGGUACUCCAUGUACAAAGGAUAACCAUUAACUAUGAAGCAGAAUUGAAAUACAAUUUUUCCUAAAGGGACUUGCAACCUGGUUAUUCAUUGUCUCGAGUUUCAAGUCAUUUUGAUGCAACUAGUAGUUAUUAAACUGCUCCAUGUCUUUUUGUUAUUUAAUAAAUACUCUUUCCAGGGCUUAAAAAACCAAAACUAAAUUUCUCCAACACGUCUGUACUUGUCUAUUCAAAAUUAACUACUCACCACUACAUGGAACAGAUGAUUCUGAAGACACGCUCUUUGAGCAUCUUUUAUCAUACAUGUGACUUAAAAUGUGGCUGGACAGUUUCCCUCUACCCAGUGAAAUAUUUAAUGAUUAGCCUUCAUUCAUGCCUGAUACCAUCGAUAUAUAUGUAUGUGGUGGGCAAAGUUUGACAUAGGCAUUUGACUCUAGGAUGUGAUAGCUUGUUAGUCACUUCAAGUAGCAUAUUGUCAACCUGUUUGCUGGAAAAAUAGACUAACUUGGAAAAAUCUAUAAAUGGCAGCUAAGAAUUUUUUUCAGUAUUCCUGAGUUUCUGUCCUUGGGAUAUUUCAAUGGAAUUUCACCUGUCCCUUCACUGAACAGACUGACUUUAUUCCUUACUAUGAAGUAUUCUUAAGACAUUAAGAUUACUUUUAUAGAAAGGAUAAAAUUCCUGACUAUCCAAUCAUCAUAGUGAACAAGACUUCAAUUUGUGACCUGUGAAAAAUCUCAUUUCUCUACUUCAUAGUCAAUUUAAGGGCCAAACGCCAUCAGCUACUCUGAGUGCACUGGGUAAACGUUGGAACUGCCUUCUUUAUAUCCUUGUUUCUUCUCUAAACUAAUCAUGAUUACAUGAUUCUUACCACAAAUCAAAUCACUCAGAUCUGGUUAGACUGCUCACAGUUAACAAAUCAAACUCUGGAUGACUUCUGCUUGUAUAUGCAACUACUAUUUGUAAAGAAAUUAGAGGUUCACUUUUUGAUUCCUCUACAUUGCUAGCUCUUUGUGUUUGUAUUCAAAACAAAACUAAGCUACACUGCCAAUUAUUCCCUCCUGCCAUACCCAGUUAAAAUGAAGAAUCGGGAAUCUAAUCAGUAAGCGGAUAAGUAGAAAAAACCAAAACUUAAGGCAAAAAAAAAAGCCUUAAUCUAGGGCCUUUUCUACUAUCUUCAUGUCUUGGAUUUCAUCUAAAUCAACAGUAUCACCCAACCAGUCUGAGGUCUUGACUUGCUUUUCAGAUGAUUCUUAGAGAUGGGCUGUAUUACAGAAGGUGAAGACUUGAUUACCAAAGAAAGUAGAGCCAACUAUGACAAAACCUGGCUCUACGAUCCUAUUGCUCCCAGAUGUAGCAUAGACUCAACUAGAACCUCAAGUCUGCGUUGAGGAUAUAGCCUUCUAAGCUGACAGUUCUUGCAAAGAUGAGCAAGAAAAUGAAAGCUGCUAUACCCAACUGGCCCUUUAAGAUCCAAAAAUAAUGUCUGGAGUAAACCCUGUGGAGUACCCAGGACAAAAACUAAUUUACAGAGCUUCAUUAUUAAUCUGCCUGUUCUUCUAGAUUAUAGUUUAACUAUUGGUGUGGCUGGCCCUGCUGAAGUUGUUUGCCUGCUUACCUGUCUUCAGCUCCUAACCUACCUUUUUUGACAUGCUACUGCAAUCAGACUGACUGACUUUGAGAAAACUACACUUUCAGCCUCUCGUGCCCAAUUCCACCAAGGAAGUUUGACUAGAAGGAACUCAUACCUUACCCCCACCAGAACUAAUGUUCGUAACAGAAAGGAACAUGCUACAUAUUCCUUGACCAGCAACUCUAGAGAACAACCCUGCUUAUUUUCAACACCUGAUACAUCUAUUUGAUCUAAUAGGCGUAUAGAAGGUUGGCAGCAGAAUACAUUGCUUCUCUCUUUGGUAACUCAGAAAUGAAUAUAAUAAGUUCAACUUGACAAGAAUCAGAAACACCAGAAGUUUACUGCUGAACUUCAUUUGCCACUAACUCAAAUAGCAUCACAGACCUGCUUGCCAAGUAGGCGGCUAGUUUUCCUGCUUCAUAUCACCACUGCAGUGGGGCUUUGAUGAAACUGACUUGGAAGGGAACCUUAUGUUGAAUCCUAGACUAUGAUGCUAAGGAAAUUGUUUAUUCAAGUGAAUUGUAGGUUUCCUGAGGACAGAACAGACAUCACUCCUGGUGAUUUUUAGAAUUUGAUUAACCAAGGAAGAAAUACCAGCUGCUAAAAGUCAACUUUAUGGGCAAAGAUUAAGCUCUCUAUAUCUGAUCUUAUCCUGGAUGCCAGUUUUUUAUUGCCCAACGACCAUUUCCAUCUCACUCUUAACAACCUCCUGGUGUUUUUUGGAACCAUCUCUUCCAAUUUUCAGUCCUUGUGGUUUAAACAUUCUUUUCUGUGCUGGACAUUUUGUUGCAACCUCACCAAUCACAGUAAAGUCUAUCUUGACUCUGGUGAUUAGUUCAGGAAUGGAUGCAUGAUUCAAGUUUGUCCAAUGAUAAUCAACCCUAGGUGUUCUCAGUUGUGGAGAAGUUCUCUUAGAUGCUUUAGCUUUGUAGGAGAGAACUCAAACCAUCAGGGCCUACUAUGUUGAGUAAGCCAGGCAGAAAAUGAAGCCAAUACAGAGGGAAAUGGAGCCAAAAGAGGAAGAGACUUGAGUUCUGAUGACCACAUUUAUGCCCCUGUAUCCAACUGUGCCUGAAGCUAAUAGUACAUCACCUGGACUUUUCAGUUAUGUGAACCAAUAAAUUCCCUUUUUUGUUUAAA